Molecule: ribosomal RNA, 265 nt
Filed under: uncultured bacterium
Lineage: Bacteria
Description: partial 16S ribosomal RNA
Rfam family: Bacterial small subunit ribosomal RNA
Source: RNAcentral
UGGCGACCGGCGCACGGGUGAGUAACACGUAUCCAACCUGCCGAUGACUCGGGGAUAGCCUUUCGAAAGAAAGAUUAAUACCCGAUGGCAUAGUUCUUCCGCAUGGUGGAACUAUUAAAGAAUUUCGGUCAUCGAUGGGGAUGCGUUCCAUUAGAUAGUAGGCGGGGUAACGGCCCACCUAGUCUUCGAUGGAUAGGGGUUCUGAGAGGAAGGUCCCCCACAUUGGAACUGAGACACGGUCCAAACUCCUACGGGAGGCAGCAUG